RNAcentral lists this ribosomal RNA (229 nucleotides) under uncultured bacterium. RNAcentral's name for it is "partial 16S ribosomal RNA". It matches the Rfam family "Bacterial small subunit ribosomal RNA", at positions 15 to 244 of the family's 1533-position model. The record is from RNAcentral.
GAUCAUGGCUCAGAUUGAACGCUGGCGGCAUGCCUUACACAUGCAAGUCGAACGGCAGCACGGGUGCUUGCACCUGGUGGCGAGUGGCGAACGGGUGAGUAAUACAUCGGAACAUGUCCUGUAGUGGGGGAUAGCCCGGCGAAAGCCGGAUUAAUACCGCAUACGAUCCACGGAUGAAAGCGGGGGACCUUCGGGCCUCGCGCUAUAGGGUUGGCCGAUGGCUGAUUAG